UGCGACAGCCCAUAGGCUUGCCCCCCCGGGCAUUCGGGUGGACUACGAACACAAACUGAAGCCCUAGGACUUGUCGCCGGUUUGCGCUCUCGCCGAGGCACAGGCUGCUCGCGGACCACCCUGCUCCGAAAACUAAGAGGUAGGUGGUAGCCCAUUCAUCUGGUUACUGAUACUGGCCGGCAUCAGCGGACUGUCGGCAGGUCCUUGAGCAACUGGUGUGUGAAAUGGGACGGACGUCAAAGGACAAGCGGGAUGUCUACUACCGCCUGGCCAAGGAGAAUGGCUGGCGUGCUCGCAGCGCCUUCAAACUGCUACAACUGGAUAAGGAAUUCCAACUCUUCCAAGGUCCCUGACUGGUGGGCAGGUCACUGGGCGGUGAGGUGGGCACAGGAGGUAAACAAGUAGGCUGGGUCUGCAGAGCUCCCUGUGGUAGGUGGGCUGACUCAGAGGGUCUCUGGGGCAGGGAGACAGGCAGGAAGAUAGGCAGAAUACCGGAGAGGAGUUGGGCACCUGGGCAAUGGAGAUAUGUGGGUGCUCCCCAGGGGAGAGGGGUGAAUUUUGCAAGGGUCUCCAGGUUGGAGAAGUGGGUGCAGCUGAUCAGGAUGCUUUCACUAUGUAUGCCCAGGCGUGACACGGGCAGUUGACCUGUGUGCAGCCCCGGGCAGCUGGAGCCAGGUGCUGAGCCAGAAGAUCGGGGGCCAAGGGUCCGGCCACGUGGUGGCUGUGGACCUGCAGGCUAUGGCUCCACUACCAGGUGUGCUGUCCACUGCCAAGGAGAUCAUCCAGCACUUUAAGGGCUGCCCUGCGGACCUAGUGGUGUGUGACGGGGCUCCUGAUG
This 838-nucleotide small RNA is filed under the name Pan troglodytes (chimpanzee). Its description in RNAcentral is "processed transcript". Lineage: Eukaryota; Metazoa; Chordata; Mammalia; Primates; Hominidae. The record is from RNAcentral.